UAAAAUUAUAAAUGCGAAUAACAACAACAAUAAUAAUCAUUAAUCAAAACAAUCAAACAUUAUAAGGAUGAACAAUAAAAACAAUGAAAUCGCCUCCGCGCAGGUGACAUUUCCAUUUCUAUUCUU
This 126-nucleotide small RNA is filed under the name uncultured eukaryote. RNAcentral's name for it is "partial transfer-messenger RNA". The record is from RNAcentral.